UCUAACAGAGUGUGGUAGCUCACGCUUGUAGUCCCAGCUGCUUGGGAGGCUGAGGCAGGAGGAUUGCUUGAGACCGAGACGUGGAGGCUGCAGUGAGCCGUGAUCGUACCACUGGGAGAUGGAUGGAGCGAUCGUACCCCAGCCUGGGUGACAGAGGGAGACCUUGUCUCAAAAAAAAUAAUAAUUUAGGGUUCUCUAGCUUUUUACCAGGUUAUCUCAUUUCUUCUGUGUGGAGGAUGGAUACAAAUUAUGUGUUGACUGAUGCAAAGUAAUAGCACAAAGCAGUACCCUCUGACGUUGCGGUAGUUGGUGUGUCACCGUUUCCAGAAAGGUUGGAUUUUGUAACUUUGAAUCCCGAGAGUGGGAGUCUUGGCUGUUUCUGGACUGUAGAGUGAGAAGAGACCGAGAUGUGGUGAUGGCAGGCCAAGUGGAGGGUCAUAGAAGGUGCUGUUUGUGAGGCGCCACGGUGUUUCUAAGCUACACUUCUUUAUUCAGCAAAAACGCGGAUUCAGAAAGGCACCCGGGAAGGUUGAACCUCGAAGAUUAGACACAGGGACAAGUGGUGAAGCAUAUAAGAGACGUGCUUUGAUUCCUCCCGUGGAAGAAACAGCCCUUUAUCCUUCUCUCUGUCCUGUAAGGACUCUCAUAACACCAUUAUUUUUUACUGCUGGGUUGACAGGCUGUGCAUUUGAAUCAGCUGCUAUUUGGUAAUAUGAAUCACUGAAAUCCAGGGUCCAGAGUUAUUUUGAUGCUAUAAAAGCUGAUUGGGUGGCUAGCAUUUAGAAGGAAGAAGGAGAUUUCAGAAAGGAGGUGAAGAUAAACACCGCUUUCUUUGUUCUAGCUAAUCACGAUUUUAAAAAACUGAUACAUAAUAGAUGCACAUUUUCAGUGUACAUGAUGCGUACACAUAAUGUGUAGUAAUUAAAUCUGAGUAAUUGGAAUAUCACC
Molecule: long non-coding RNA, 948 nt
Organism: Sapajus apella (tufted capuchin)
Lineage: Eukaryota; Metazoa; Chordata; Mammalia; Primates; Cebidae
Exons: 2
Source: RefSeq, a predicted model, not a curated record